Molecule: long non-coding RNA, 1847 nt
Filed under: Schizosaccharomyces pombe (fission yeast)
Lineage: Eukaryota; Fungi; Ascomycota; Schizosaccharomycetes; Schizosaccharomycetales; Schizosaccharomycetaceae
Source: RNAcentral
UUAAUGACACAGAGAAUUACGAAAUACUUCAUUAUAUCCAUUUUUAACAUAGCAUCCUUUGUCUGCAGAUUGCCAACAUCAAUGUAUCAUUACAAAAACUAAUUAUUGUUACUGUACGGAUUGUUUAUAUUUCAAUUCCUUAAUAAUUGUUAUUUUAAUACAUAUUAUCUUGCUAUACUAUUUAUCUUGGUCCGCUUGAUAGAAUUUGUAAGUACUGUUGGUCUCUUGCUUGUAUAUGUGCUCAUUCCUUAAAUCCUUUGUUUGUGAGGUUUUGCCUGUGUUUUGCAGUCAUCAAAAGCUGUAUAUUUAAGCCAUCUUCCAAACCGCCCAAUUGAAAUAAAUUAGAAUGUCUUAACGUACUAAUUAUUUCAUAACUUUGAAGAACUAUAUUCUACUGGCCUCAGGAGUUUUACCAAAAUCUGUUGUAUGCAAUAUUUUCCUUAAACGAUUUACAAUUAGAAUAAUGUGGCCUGUAAUAGAAAUCAAUCAAUCGGUGUUUGUGUCCCACAAUCUCUAUUUGUAAACGAUGGACGUGCUCUCCUCAAGAAUAUCAGUUUUUCUCCAGUCCAAAGGAUUUGCAUCACUCCAAAUUUCCGAGUUUAAUGAAUCUUCAAACCAACCGUUCUUUAUCAAAUACUUCGAUUUAUUUUCUGGUUUUCUGGUUUUUGAGGUUCCCAUUAAAGCCCGGCUAGUCUCUUCUAUAGCGUAACUGUUAGUAUUCGAGAAACCUGAGUAACUUUCGUCUUUUUUUUCAUUGUUAAAUAACUGGGGCGAUUUCGUUUUACUGCUGAGAAUUAGAGAAUGAUUUCCCUCAUUAUCAUUGUGACCUGAAGAUGAAUUGUUAACAUGAAAACCAACUUUUGGUUGACGUGAAUUACUCUGUACAACACCUCCAUAUGCCUUAUCUUGGGAACCCCUGUCCUUGAGGGCUCUCUUAAUUGCUUUCUUCCUAAGCUUUUCUCCACCUUUUUUUAAAUUAUAAUCGUUGAGAGCAUUAAAAGAGAAGGAAUUUGCCAGCCGCUCAUAACUUACAGUCCUUUUAUUUUUCGGAGAAUUUUGAUUUCUUUCCAAAUUCGAUGUCUUUAAAUUCUUUAUAUUGAUAGUUUCUCUUGCACAUUUUGUUAUAGGUCCAUCAUUCAUCUUGUUUGUAGCGGUCAAUUCAUUGAUUUCAUGGUUUUCCAUUGUGCAAGAAUUGAGUGCAUCGAGAUUAGUUGGAAAUUUAACUGAUGUUUUGUGUUUGCGAAGGAUAUCGUUGUUUUCUUUUUGUGAAGACUUAUUCAUUACAUCUUCUGUUUGCGUUUCCGCAGUGCCAAGUUUACUGAUUUUUAUUUUCUGCAUCUGGUUGCCUUUUUUCGCUUUCGGUUUUAUUCUCUCAUAGUUGGGGGGUUCAGCUUUUCCCUUACAGCAUGUAUUAAUGAUUUUUUCUUUCACUGGACUAUCCAAUCGCUCAUACUGCUCAGGAAUAUAAUUUUGUUCGCCGUUUCCAUUAUCCUCUUCUGAUUUUUUUUCACUUUCUCCCGAAUCCAAAGAUAAACUACUCUCAUUUCGUUCACUUUCAAUAGAAUGUAAAUUUGAAUUUGCAAAAUGAAGUCUUUGUUUUUCUAAAUCAAAAGAUGCAUCCCCAAAUUCCAUGGGACUUGCGUUUUUUUUUGCAGAUAUCUCAGAAUGAUAUAAAAUAUCGUUUUCUUCAUUGAUUGUAUAGUCUUGGGCUGAUUCUCGUACAAGUUUUAGCAAUGAAUUAAUUUUUUUCUCCUUUGAUAUUGAUAUCUCCUUGUAACAAUUGAAAAUUUCGAGCUCUGUUUUUGCUUCAUUCGAACUUUUAAUGUGUUUGACAUAUAUGUUUUCCU